AAAAUCCGUCGACUUUAGAAAUCGUGAGGGUUCAAGUCCCUCUAUCCCCCCAAAAAGACCGAUUUGACUAUUUCUCCUACCCUCUCUUUUUUUUAGUGGUUCAAAAUUCGUUCUCUUUCUCAUUCAUUCUACCUUUUUACAAACGUAUCAGAGCAGAAUUUUUUUUUCUUUUAUCACAAUCACAAGUGGUGUGGUAUAUAUGAUAUACGUACAAAUGAACAUCUUUGAACAAAGAAUCCCGAUUCACAAUUCAUAUCAUUGCUCAUACUGAAACUUAUAAAUUAUUCUAUUCAAGAAAUCGAAUUCCACGCUCAAGACUUUUAAUACUUUUUUUAUCUUUUUUAAUUGACAUAGACCCCAGUCAUCUAGUAAAAUGGGGAUGAUGCGCCGGUAAUGGUCGGGAUAGCUCAGCUGGUAGAGCAGAGGACUGAAAAUCCU
RNAcentral lists this transfer RNA (438 nucleotides) under Acer diabolicum. RNAcentral's name for it is "partial transfer RNA-Leu". The stretch from base 397 to 438 matches the Rfam family "tRNA", at positions 1 to 41 of the family's 71-position model. Lineage: Eukaryota; Viridiplantae; Streptophyta; Magnoliopsida; Sapindales; Sapindaceae. The record is from RNAcentral.